RNAcentral lists this unclassified non-coding RNA (345 nucleotides) under soil metagenome. RNAcentral describes it as "partial contains 5.8S ribosomal RNA, internal transcribed spacer 2, and large subunit ribosomal RNA". The stretch from base 1 to 120 matches the Rfam family "5.8S ribosomal RNA", at positions 35 to 154 of the family's 154-position model. The record is from RNAcentral.
GAUGAGGAACGUAGCGAAAUGCGAUACGUAAUGUGAAUUGCAGAAUUCAGUGAAUCAUCGAGUCUUUGAACGCACAUUGCGCCCCCUGGUAUUCCGGGGGGCAUGCCUGUCCGAGCGUCAUUGCUGCCCUCAAGCACGGCUUGUGUGUUGGGCCUCCGUCCUCAUCCCGGGGGACGGGCCCGAAAGGCAGCGGCGGCACCGCGUCCGGUCCUCGAGCGUAUGGGGCUUCGUCACCCGCUCUUGUAGGCCCGGCCGGCGCUUGCCGACACAUCAAUCUUUUUUCCAGGUUGACCUCGGAUCAGGUAGGGAUACCCGCUGAACUUAAGCAUAUCAAUAAGCGGAGGA